UUAUAUUAACAUAAGUAAACAUUUGUGCUAACAAAUGUAUAUUUUAUACUAAUUAAAAGUAAUUAUUAUCUUAAUAAAAAGUAAUUAUGCAUAUGAAUAAAUGUAAUAUUUAAAAAAAAAUUCCACGAAAAUUAUUAUUUUUACUCACGAAAAUUUGUAAUGUUAAUUAUUUGGUUAAGUAAUUAUAGUUGUAAGAAAAAAUAACCAUUGAUAUGAAUAAAUAUAAUAUUAAAAAAAAGAAAUAGUUGGAAAAAAUAAAAAUAAAAGUUAAAAAAGUGUUGAAAAUAAAAAAUAAAACAGAAAAAUAGAAAAAAAAGAGAGCUAAAAAAAGAAAAAGAAAAGCAAAAAACGAAAAAGACAAAAAACUGAAACAACAAAAAAAAAGCAUAGAUCAUUGUAAAAAAUCAGAAAAGAAAUUAAUAUAUAGAGUUAGGACUGUAAAAUCGGGUUGCGGGUAUCGGGUAUACCCUCACCCGUCCCGAUACCCACAAAUUUGAAGAGGAGGGUCGGGUGCGGGUAUCAUAUCCUCAAAAAUCGCGGGUAGAGGGUACCCGCAUUACCC
Molecule: long non-coding RNA, 562 nt
Filed under: Salvia miltiorrhiza (redroot sage)
Lineage: Eukaryota; Viridiplantae; Streptophyta; Magnoliopsida; Lamiales; Lamiaceae
Description: long non-coding RNA (SMIL_LNC001572)
Source: RNAcentral